GACGAACGCUGGCGGCGUGCUUAACACAUGCCAGUCGAACGGAAAGGCCCCCUUGUGGGGUACUCGAGUGGCGAACGGGUGAGUAACACGUGAGUAACCUACCCUUGACUUUGGGAUAACUUCAGGAAACUGGGGCUAAUACCGGAUCGGAGCUCCUGCUGCAUGGUGGGGGUUGGAAAGUUUCGGCGGUUGGGGAUGGACUCGCGGCUUAUCAGCUUGUUGGUGGGGUAGUGGCUCACCAAGGCUUUGACGGGUAGCCGGCCUGAGAGGAUGACCGGCCACAUUGGGCCUGAGAUACGGCCCAGACUCCUACGGGAGGCAGCAGUGGGGAAUAUUGCACAAUGGGCGGAAGCAUGAUGCAGCAACGCCGCGUGCGGGAUGACGGCCUUCGGGUUGUAAACCGCUUUCGCCUGUGACGAAGCGUGAGUGACGGUAAUGGGUAAAGAAGCACCGGCUAACUACGUG
RNAcentral lists this ribosomal RNA (465 nucleotides) under uncultured bacterium. RNAcentral's name for it is "partial 16S ribosomal RNA". It matches the Rfam family "Bacterial small subunit ribosomal RNA", at positions 28 to 507 of the family's 1533-position model. The record is from RNAcentral.